This 201-nucleotide ribosomal RNA is filed under the name Escherichia coli. RNAcentral describes it as "partial 23S ribosomal RNA". It matches the Rfam family "Bacterial large subunit ribosomal RNA", at positions 1117 to 1316 of the family's 2925-position model. Lineage: Bacteria; Pseudomonadati; Pseudomonadota; Gammaproteobacteria; Enterobacterales; Enterobacteriaceae. The record is from RNAcentral.
CAUCAUUUAAAGAAAGCGUAAUAGCUCACUGGUCGAGUCGGCCUGCGCGGAAGAUGUAACGGGGCUAAACCAUGCACCGAAGCUGCGGCAGCGACGCUUAUGCGUUGUUGGGUAGGGGAGCGUUCUGUAAGCCUGUGAAGGUGUGCUGUGAGGCAUGCUGGAGGUAUCAGAAGUGCGAAUGCUGACAUAAGUAACGAUAAA